GACGAACGCUGGCGGCGUGCUUAACACAUGCAAGUCGAACGGAAAGGCCCUGCUUUUGUGGGGUGCUCGAGUGGCGAACGGGUGAGUAACACGUGAGUAACCUGCCCUUGACUUUGGGAUAACUUCAGGAAACUGGGGCUAAUACCGGAUAGGAGCUCCUGUUGCAUGGUGGGGGUUGGAAAGUUUCGGCGGUUGGGGAUGGACUCGCGGCUUAUCAGCUUGUUGGUGGGGUAGUGGCUUACCAAGGCUUUGACGGGUAGCCGGCCUGAGAGGGUGACCGGCCACAUUGGGACUGAGAUACGGCCCAGACUCCUACGGGAGGCAGCAGUGGGGAAUAUUGCACAAUGGGCGGAAGCCCGAUGCAGCAACGCCGCGUGCGGGAUGACGGCCUUCGGGUUGUAAACCGCUUUCGCCUGUGACGAAGCGUGAGUGACGGUAAUGGGUAAAGAAGCACCGGCUAACUACGUG
RNAcentral lists this ribosomal RNA (468 nucleotides) under uncultured bacterium. RNAcentral describes it as "partial 16S ribosomal RNA". It matches the Rfam family "Bacterial small subunit ribosomal RNA", at positions 28 to 507 of the family's 1533-position model. The record is from RNAcentral.